AUAUUUACCACGCAAGAGUGAUUCCGUGAUCAAGAAGGUGGUUUUGCCAGGGCAAGGCUUAUCCAUUGUAUUCUCAAUGGAUUGACCCCUGUGAUUUCCCCAAAUGUGUGAAACUUGGCUUCAUAAUUUGUGGUAGUGGGGGACUGUGUUUGCACUCUCCCCUU
RNAcentral lists this small nuclear RNA (164 nucleotides) under Phascolarctos cinereus (koala). Its description in RNAcentral is "U1 spliceosomal RNA (ENSPCIG00000035310.1)". It matches the Rfam family "U1 spliceosomal RNA". Rfam says of the family: U1 is a small nuclear RNA (snRNA) component of the spliceosome (involved in pre-mRNA splicing). Its 5' end forms complementary base pairs with the 5' splice junction, thus defining the 5' donor site of an intron. Lineage: Eukaryota; Metazoa; Chordata; Mammalia; Diprotodontia; Phascolarctidae. The record is from Rfam by way of RNAcentral.